This 73-nucleotide transfer RNA is filed under the name Stylogomphus albistylus. RNAcentral's name for it is "tRNA-Val". Lineage: Eukaryota; Metazoa; Arthropoda; Insecta; Odonata; Gomphidae. The record is from RNAcentral.
UCAAAUUAGAGCUUGGGAGGAAGCGCCUCAUUUACACUGGGGAGUAUUAUCGUGCGAUUCGAUUUAAUUUGAU